UUCUUGUAAUUCCAUGAUGAUAUAUGAUAGCAUUCAAAAGGGCUUAUUAUACUCUGAGGAUGGCAAU
This 67-nucleotide transfer RNA is filed under the name Cryptomonas paramaecium. RNAcentral describes it as "Cryptomonas paramecium tRNA". The record is from RNAcentral. Lineage: Eukaryota; Cryptophyceae; Cryptomonadales; Cryptomonadaceae.